RNAcentral lists this ribosomal RNA (805 nucleotides) under uncultured Rhodocyclaceae bacterium. RNAcentral's name for it is "bacterial SSU rRNA". It matches the Rfam family "Bacterial small subunit ribosomal RNA", at positions 28 to 830 of the family's 1533-position model. The record is from RNAcentral. Lineage: Bacteria; Pseudomonadati; Pseudomonadota; Betaproteobacteria; Rhodocyclales; Rhodocyclaceae.
AUUGAACGCUGGCGGAAUGCUUUACACAUGCAAGUCGAGCGGCAGCGCGGGGGCAACCCUGGCGGCGAGCGGCGAACGGGUGAGUAACAUAUCGGAACGUACCCAGUCGUGGGGGAUAACUAUCCGAAAGGAUAGCUAAUACCGCAUACGACCUGAGGGUGAAAGCGGGGGACCGUAAGGCCUCGCGCGAUUGGAGCGGCCGAUAUCGGAUUAGCUAGUUGGUGAGGUAAAGGCUCACCAAGGCGACGAUCCGUAGCUGGUCUGAGAGGACGACCAGCCACACUGGAACUGAGACACGGUCCAGACUCCUACGGGAGGCAGCAGUGGGGAAUUUUGGACAAUGGGGGCAACCCUGAUCCAGCCAUUCCGCGUGAGUGAAGAAGGCCUUCGGGUUGUAAAGCUCUUUCAGCAGGAACGAAACGGUGGUCCCUAAUACGGGCUACUAAUGACGGUACCUGAAGAAGAAGCACCGGCUAACUACGUGCCAGCAGCCGCGGUAAUACGUAGGGUGCGAGCGUUAAUCGGAAUUACUGGGCGUAAAGCGUGCGCAGGCGGUUAUAUAAGACAGAUGUGAAAUCCCCGGGCUUAACCUGGGAACUGCGUUUGUGACUGUAUAACUCGAGUGUGGCAGAGGGGGGUGGAAUUCCACGUGUAGCAGUGAAAUGCGUAGAGAUGUGGAGGAACACCGAUGGCGAAGCAGCCCCCUGGGUCAACACUGUCGCUCAUGCACGAAAGCGUGGGGAGCAAACAGGAUUAGAUACCCUGGUAGUCCACGCCCUAACGAUGCGAACUAGGUGUUGGGGAA